Non-coding RNA from Phoenix dactylifera (date palm), 1312 nucleotides. The record is from RefSeq and is a predicted model, not a curated record. Lineage: Eukaryota; Viridiplantae; Streptophyta; Magnoliopsida; Arecales; Arecaceae.
UAGCUGGGCUUGAGGGAUUUGGCUUCUACCUUUCCCCGGAUGAGCGCCAGAGAAACGAGGUAAAAUAAAAGGCCCGCAUCUUCCCUCACGGCAAGCCCGAGGACCUCCCCUCACCGCCGUCGGCUUCGAUUCCGACAAAGCGCUACUCGAGGCCAUCCCAAUCCCUAACCCUCGCUGGCGCCGGCCGGUAGGCCCUCGUUCGUCCGGGACGCCAUGCGCUUGGCCGCCGGCGCCGUCUCCGUCGCCUCCGCGCCUCUCGCUGCCGGUGCUGAGGCUCGGGCCCGCCGUCGAGGGUGCUCUGCUGCGAGGAGAUCGAUGGUCGGCGGUGGAACUACGUCGUCGAUUUGGAGGGUUCCUGAAAGCUCCGGAGGGGCUCGGCGUUGUAGGCCGUCUCGUUGCAGACCCCAGAAGCUCCAGUGGACGAUUUUAAAGAUCCUAGGUGGUGCCUGAAGGCUUUCCUGGUAGUGCUACCCCUUCUUAUGUGCCAUACAUGACAUGGAGAGCUUUGAAGGGAUGGAUUAUGACAGAAUCAUUGCGUAAUCAUGGGAGAGCUCGGCUAUGUGGGCUAAAAGAAGAGUAAUGCUUCAUAAAAAUCGAGCAGUUUUAUUUCUUUCCCUGGGACAUCUCAUGGUUUAAAUACUACAAUUGAGAGUGGAACUGGCACUCUAUGCUUGAAACUAGCUCUUUAACUGAGAUGACAGCCAUGGCUACUCCAGAUAUUAUCUUCCGUCACACUGUAUCUAGAUACCCUAACCCCAAAUUGUAUUCUUAGCUGUGGAUCUUUCCAAUCAGCAAAUGGCAAGAAAUUCAUCUGUGUUCAGCUUGGAAGCUAACUGCUCUUGGAAUCUAUUGUCAUUAUGAACAUAUAAGUUGAUUCAUUCGUAGCUUGGCAAACUCCCUAUAGUGAACACAAAUUUUCUGAGCCGUUACCUUCCAGCCUUUUUAGUUAUACCUUUUUUCCUCCACAAGAUUUUGUAGUAGUACUGUGUUGAAUACUCAGGAACACUGAGUUUCUAAUGGAAGCCUUUUUAGGUGCAAGUCAUUAAGUGGAAUGGUUUGUGCUAUGGUAGUUGAAGAAAGGGGAUAGAUCUUUCCUGACUUUACCGAAGUUAUCACAUCAGUGUAUAUACCUUUGUGUAACUUGAUUUGUAAGUCAUCUAUUUUACUAUGGUGAUCAGUAAUCAACAACAGGUGAUAACAGGUUUGAUAUCUUCUCUUUUUUUUUUUCUUUUUGUUUGUAGACUUUCCUAUUGCUAUUAUGAUAUGAACUGUUCCUGUUUAAUCUGCAAAGCACCGGGUGAUUCAUUUGAUC